GGACAGGUGAGAGGACAGGUGAAGAGGACAGAGGACAGGUGAGAGGACAGGUGAGAGGACAGGUGAGAGGACAGGUGAGAGGACAGGUGAAG
This is a long non-coding RNA of Periophthalmus magnuspinnatus, 92 nucleotides long. RefSeq lists it as uncharacterized. The transcript is spliced from 3 exons. The record is from RefSeq and is a predicted model, not a curated record. Lineage: Eukaryota; Metazoa; Chordata; Actinopteri; Gobiiformes; Gobiidae.